UCAUCCUGGAUCCUCCCCAAGUCCCUGUGUGGGUAGAUGGCAUUUGCUCACGUGAUGAGGAUGGACUGGUUCUCCCUAUCUGGAAGAGGAAAGAAGAGAGGCAACAGAGUCAGGACCCCUCUGAGGCCAAAACCAGUAGAGGUCCCCCCAUCCCCGCCCCAGCAUCCUCUCUGGCAAAGGAUGUGCAUCCCUGGGAUGGUGCCCUGUUACAUCUGCUCAGGUCCAUCUGAGAAAGCAGUGACCUUGCCCCCUUCCCGGGACAGGAUCUUGGCCUUCACAAACUCCUCCUUGUCGUCGGGCACAAAGCAC
Molecule: long non-coding RNA, 309 nt
Organism: Neofelis nebulosa (Clouded leopard)
Lineage: Eukaryota; Metazoa; Chordata; Mammalia; Carnivora; Felidae
Exons: 3
Source: RefSeq, a predicted model, not a curated record